Uranotaenia lowii is the source of this 1113-nucleotide long non-coding RNA. RefSeq lists it as uncharacterized. The record is from RefSeq and is a predicted model, not a curated record. The transcript has 6 exons. Lineage: Eukaryota; Metazoa; Arthropoda; Insecta; Diptera; Culicidae.
CCUUUUACGCCGUACGCUGUUACACCGAGAUAAUUCUUAUAAGAAAAUAGCCGAUGUAAACAAAACGGUAAAACUCGAGACAACAGUCAAGCAAGAGUAAACAACCAAAAUUUUGUCAGAAAAGCUUUUUGUGCAUCUAUUUUUGAGUUAAGCCGAUUUAGUCGUGCGGUACGAUCCGUGCUUCAAGUGGAUAAUUCGUUUGUCUGGGACAAAAGGACAAAACCGUCGACGGACCAUUUACAAAAAAUUGCAUGCAGUCAGUCUUAUGGAAUUCGAAAUGGACGACAGAAGUAUUGUGAAUUGGAGUUUCAUCUAACCCACAAAUUAAUCAAGAACCAGUCUAAGCAAAAUAAGAUUCUUUAAUGAAUACAAAAUAGUUGGCAAAAAAGGAGCAUUUGAAUCCCGAAUCUAUCGGAACUACAUCAAACAUUCAAAAUUCAAUCUCGAGUUGGCGAUGUCGUUUUGUUCCUGAACAGGCGCACAACUAGAUCUAACGACUGUUGAAGGAACUCCGUAUUUGUUAAAGUCGGAUGAGGUGGUCAUCAGGGUCAGCGGAAUGCAAACUGAAGAAAAUGUGGAUAAAGAUAAUAUUGAGAAGCAUAUUCAGAAAACAGAAGAAGCACUCUCCCGACAGGAAUUACUCUCAUUCUGGAUCAUUUUAUUUUUCUUGAUAUUGAUGAAAAAACACCCUACAAUAACUAUCUUCGCGGUCCGAACCAAGUAUUAAAAGAGCAUUCUUGAUGCUACUGCAUGUAAUUUGGUAUUCUGAUGAGCCAAUAUUUACUCCAAGCAGCGAACGUUUCACGUGGCAACAUUUCAAAAAAACUGUGCCAGUCGAUAAAAUUUACGCUGCGAACGGAAUCUAUACAAGUGCUUCCUUUGGAAAGCAAUACAAUCUUAUCCAUCGGAAAUUUGCUUUAAAAACUAAUCGAAGUUUUGCUGGUUGUUCAGAUUUCGUUCAGCGAUGUGAGCUAUGGAAGCAGUUUUCCAGAAGAAGUCUAAGCAGGUGCCAUUCGUAAAGCUAUAGACGGACAAUGACCGAAAGGAGAGCGUAUCUGAUUGCCAUGCGAAGCCGCCGUAGUGGCUGCGCUUUCAAGGAGAUUCGAAAGUGCA